UUUUUUUUUUUUUUUUAGGGCCACAUCUGCAGCAUAUGGAGGUUCCCAGGCUAGGGGUAGAAUCAGAGCUGCAGCUGCCAGCCACAACCACAGCCACAGCAACACUGGAUCAGAGCCACAUCUGAGACCUACACCAUAGCUCAUGGCAACACUAGAUCCUUAACCCACUGAGCAAGGCCAGGGAUUGAACCUAUGUCCUCAUGGAUACUAGUUGGAUUCGUUUCCACUGAGCCACAAAGGGAACUCCAGACUGCUCUCCCCUUGGUCUUCCCAUCGCCAGAGUCUCUAUAGUCCAAAGGGGGCAAAAUAAGCCAAAGGAAGGAACGCUGGUGUCCAGGGAGAUCCCUGAGCUGGUGAUUAAGCCACAACCAGCACUCAUGGCUGUAAUCCCCCAAACCAAGGGGACACCUGCAAAGGUGCCACACUAACCCCCGAGGAAAUGGGGAUAUGGCUUCCUGACUCCCUGCCAAGAUGUGAUGUGUUUAUUAGGUGAGAAAACUCCAAUUCUCCAUGUCGAAAGAGAGGAAGGAGCAAAGAGAGGAACCCCAGACUUCCUCUUUCUCCAUCAGGCAAAAUUUCAAAUAAUAAGCAGACCCACAGCAGAUGGACUGUGUUUUAGCACUCCUGUGGCAGGGAGGAGGGCGCAGUCUGGCUGUCUCUCUCUAAAUCGAGAGAGAAAACGUGAGCCAGCGUGAGUGUGUACAUGUCCGGGUGUGUGUGUGUGUGGGGGGAGAAUGGAGGGAAAGACGUGAAAAUGAGAAGAAGGAAGCAGCAGCCACUCAGAGGAGGAAAAGGGACGAUGAGGGCCAAGAGGCCAACACAGGACAAGUCAGACGUGGGGAGGAGGCGUGGGGAGCGGGAAGGAGGCAAAGAAAACCAGGAAACAAAGCAAGAAACAAACCACAAGGGAACUGUUAGUAUCCCAACUUACUGAUUCUGCAUCCAUAACUAACCACUUGGUUGGUUAUCUGAAGUGAGCGCUUCACAAAGCAGAGCUUCAGUAACUCUGGUUCAUUAAAGGGUGCUGGGCCUUUCUGUCCCUGCCACCAAGCCUGUCCAGCGCCUCUGUCCUCAGAUCGUUUCAAAGUGGAAGGUUCGAUCCAAUUCUCAUUAUGAGACCAUGGAAAACAAGAGGGUCAGACAUGGGAAGCAUGUGAAGAAAGAGGAUUGAUCGCGUCACAAAACCCCAUCUAGCAACAGCAGGGGUGGCAUCUUCUGCCAGCGGUCCCCCGGGGUUUUCCACGAGAAGACACCUCAUGCCUUCUGAGGUGGGAUGAGCGCUGUCACAGCCGAGUGGGGUGUGGAGCAGGUGACCUCAGUAGGGGUUGGCCAGCCUGAGGCUCUCUCAGCACUUCUGCCCUGGUUCUUCCAGGCCAGGACUGAGCUGGUCCUGCACAGACUUCGGCCACUGGGGCCAAGAGUCCUGGAGACGGGGUUCUGAGGAGAGCACAGGACAAUGGCCCCACUGGGCUGUCACACUCUCUCCUCGAGAGCUCUAUGACCCCCACCUGUCCUCCCUGCCCCCCCCCCCGCCCCCGGCACCCACCUGUCCUGGCCACCACGCUCAGCCUCCCUGCCUCCAGCACGGCUGCAUUCUGUCAUCUGUUUUGCUUCAGGACUUCUUGGUUUGGGUUUUCCCUUUGUGGUUUUCCUGGGAUUCUGUUCCCCCAAAUGCACUCAGAAUGUUCCAGUGCCACCGGACAGCUCUGGUCAGCACAUGCAUCCAUUUCUAUACCUUCUAACUGGCUUCACUGGCUUCCCUGGCCCUUCUCAGAGAAGGCUGGGCAGGAUGGCUGAGCAGGGCUCUGCAACCACUGUCUGGCAUCCUUGCCCUUCACUUCAUUUGCGUGACCUUGGGCAAGUUCCUUAGGCUCUGUGUAUUGGUUUUUUCCUCUGUUAAAUGGGGGUGCUAGUAACAAGACCCCCCUUCCCACAGCUGCUGUGAAGACUAAAGGGGCAACACGCCCAGCUCUGAACACUGUACCUGUCUUUUUUUUUUUUUUGCCUUUUUAGGGCUGCACCUGAAGUAUAUGGAAGUUCCCAGGGUAGGGGUCAAACUGGAGCUGCAGUCGCUGGCCUCCACCACAGCCGCACCAACACUGGAUCCAAGCCGCAUCCGCGACCCACACCACAGCUCAAGACAACAGCAGAUCCUUAACCCACUGAGCAAGGCCAGGGAUUGAACCUACAUCCCCAUGGAUACCAGUUGGGUUCUUAAUCUGCUGAACCACUACAGGAAUUCCCUGUUCCUGUCAUAGUCUAAGUGCUUGAUAAAUGUCAACCCUUGGUCAUCAGGUCCAACACCGCGGUAGCCCAGGACAAUCCCAUCAAAGAUGCUAUUUCCUAGCCUGUAUUAUAACCAAGCUUCUGCCUGAAUCACCCCUGACGCUGAGAGUUGACACAUCAAUGUCCACUCUUCUCACUGCUUAGGCUCUGUAUCACCCGUUUCUCUUAGUCUGGGUCCACACAUAAGCGGAUAUGAUUUAAAUGCUGAUUGCUGAGGUCUCCCUGUCCCCUCCUUGUCUUCAGGCAGCCACCACACUCCCCUCCACUGGGUCCUUGCAUCCUCUGUGACAAGGGCUCACAUUUUUGCUGCAAUCCAUUGUUCCUCUUCAUACUCUUCCUUCCUCCGCUCUCCGCCUGAGAUUUUCUGGCUGCCUUCUCUCAUAAGAUCUUGUCACACACCCCAGAGUCGAAGCUCUCUUUCUUUUUUUAUUCUGUUAACUCUUCCAAAGACCCAUCCUAGAGAAAGAGCGUAGGAAGACCCAGCUCCCAAUCAUGGCAAGGGACAAGCUUGGUGUGGCCUCCCAUAAACUGUCCAUCCGAUUACAUGGCCAUGUGUGUCUAUGCCCUCUGGGUUCUUGUUACCAAUCAGCUCUCUCCGCCUCGGGGUGAAGUUUCUGGAUCCACCUGGGUUUUCUCCCAGCUUCCAAUCCCUCCUUCACACCAUGGCCAGGAGUCUUGCAAAAUCAUAAACAGCCCCAUCCCCUGGUGGUAUGAAAAGCAGGCAGUCCUUGCAGAUGUGCCUGGUGCCUGCCUCUCCCAUCCCAUCCCCCCUCCCCCCUCUCCCUGCCAGGCUCCCUCUGACAAGCCCACAAGGUCUGCAAAAACACCGGGCAGUUCACACUUCCGGCCUCCAUGCAUGUUCUCCCCUCACCCUGAGCCAUCUGCCAGAUGAACGCCCACUUGCCUUUCCGCUUUGCACCUCCUCCAGGAAGCCUUCCCGGUCCUCUUCCCAUGCUGCUCCACCCAGCCCACUGCGCACCAGCCCAGGCAGGCAGCCCUUCUGCCUUCCCUUUGCUCUCUGUUCCUGCAGGCAGUGCAUGGAACCAGCGCACUUGUCGUAUCUGUAGCCUCUCCAAGACUUGGAGCUUUCUGAGGGCAGAGACUGUACCUUCCACCAAGUCCCAGUGUCCCCACCAUCGCUGACGACCAGUGAAGGAUAUCCCAAGUGGAAUUAAAAUGGAACUGAGUCGAGCAGAAAGAACAGAGCUGGGUGUUUCUGCCCAAGAACGAACACAAAAACACCUUAAGCAGAGCAAACUUCAAAGAUAUGGGCGUCAGCAGGUCCUGACGGGAACACACGACGGCUGACUCUCAGCCGUGGGGUCCAUCCCCUUUGCUCCCUGGUAGCCUGUGAGCUCCAGAUGCUGAGAGAUUGAACCGGGCUCAACAUUUUUGCUAAGAGCUACUGACCGUGGAAGAGCACAUGUCUGCGACAGUUCAUGGGAAGAUUAAAUGUCACCUUCAACUCUGACUGGACAUAUCCUAGAGGUUAUUAGGUGGACGCAAUAUUUUAUGGGCAGUGGAAUUUCUGGGCUCAUCUGCAGUUUGCGCUGAGACCUGAGGCUUCAGGAGAUGAACAGCAAAGAAGAGAGUUCAGAGCAUCCGCUGACUCAGCAAAGUCUCCCCAUUUCACACAACUUGGUCCCCCACUCCUCAUCUUUACGUGGCUUUGCUUCCUGGCCGGAUGCAGUAACCAGGGCAACAGGAGCCUCCCAGUCCUCCUCCCGCAUCCAAGUGUUCCCUGCAGACCCUGAUACCCCAGAGUUCCCCUGUGAAGAUUAAAGGGCAAUACGGUUACCAGGGGUCAUGUGCCAAGUAAGCUCUUGGGGUAUCAAAGAACCAGACCUCAGGAGUUCCUGUCAUGGCUCAGAAGUAAGGAACCCGACCAGUAUCCAUGAGGAUGCAGGUUCGAUCCCUAGCCUUGCUCAGUGAGUUCAGGAUCUGGUGUUGCCAUGAGCUAUGGUGUAGGUCAUAGACACAGUUCAGAUCCCACAGCUCUGAUCCUUCCCCUACCCUGGGAGCUUCCAUAUGCCACAGGCAUGGCCCUAAAAAGCAAAGAAGAAGAAGGGAAAAAAGAAGUACACCUCAUGCAGACAGCGCCAGGCUCUUCUGCACAUAUAUCUAAACGAAAUUGGGAGGGGAAAAAAAAAAACAAAACAAAAAAAAAACAGAAUCAAUGUCCUCAAUUCUUGCAAAUUUCCUUUGAUAGGCCACUUAGAAAAUCCCAUGCCCUAAAUCAUCGAGAUGCGAAGAGGACUUAGGAAGGAAGGGUGGCGCUAAAGGCACAGCUCAUCUCCACAAACCCUAAAAAACACUGAGACCACUUAGGUACUGGCGCGCGGGCUGGCAGAUGUUGACAAGCAGCAUCUGAAAGGGAGGGGUGGGAGGACCCAUUUCCCAGCCGGGGGGAGACUGAUGUCUAUAUGAGUGGUUCUCUACUGAAGUAGAAACGGCCAGACACCACCCUUGGUCGAAAAAGAGAUGGCAAGAUGGUUUCCAGACCACAUCUGAAUCCAGGGUUCAGCAAAGGAGACUUGGAAAUCAGUUGUGACUGGGAGAGAAGGACAUGCUGCAGAAAGCUGGCUAUGACCCCCAGAAGAGGUGGCAACGGGAGACAAUGAACCGUGGGAGUGAGAGCCAGGCAGCCUGGACAGGAAGCUGGGACCCCCACCCUGGCCUCCUCCUCCUGGGCCCAGGGGCGGUUGUCCAGCCAAGAUCACAGGUGAGUUCACAGGUGAGCCUGUUAGGAUGGGGAAAUGGGUGAGACGUUGAUAGCAUCGUAACAACAGCCGGGCAUUCUGACCUUCCAAGCUGUUUCUCUUUGCCCAGCCCUCUUUGGGAAAUUAUGAUGCAUCACUGCAUUUUCCAGUGACCACUUCUUUGAGGCACGUGUGUUAAGUAAAGUGUCUCAUUUAAUCCUCAGAACCCUCUAUGGUCAAUAGUAUCACCAAUCUCACAUUGCAGGUGAGUAUACUGAUGCAUAGAAAGGUUAUGCAUCACUGAAGGUCAGAGAGAGAGUGUGUGUGUGUGAGAAUGAAGGUAAGACCCCGCUCAGCCUGAUUUCAAACCUGAACUCUUAACUGGUAGAAUUAGGAGAAAAAAAGAAAAAAGUCCAUCAGGAAAAAUUAUACAAAUAAGCCAGCAAUGGGAAGAUACAUUCUCUAAGGGGACAAGUUCUGAACAAAAGCAUCUGAGUUCUCUAGCUUUUGCCAAGAAAAAACACAGCAAGAUGGUCAGCUUGGAGAGGGUUAUAGCCUGCGGUCAUGAAACAGAAUAAUUUUCUCAAUGAAAAUGACUGGCGCACAUGGAGAAAUAAGUACCUUGCCCAGGAUGUUUGGAAAUAAACCCUUGGCUGGAAGUGGGAGACGGGGGUGGGGAGGAAGGAGAAAAAGACCCUGCGUCCUCCUUUCAUUCUCCUGAAAACUUUGAUGAGCAGUGACCUCUCCUCCUUCCUCUGUAACAAACAUAGGGCAGAGACCUCAAAAAUCCAAUCAUCCGGGAAAUACUUUCCAAGGGAAAUAAUCACCCGAUCCCAGAAUUUUGCAGGCAGGAGAGAUUUGGAGGAACAUCAAGAAAGAUCUAAGGAUAAUGAUACUGGUCCGCAAAUUAGAUGCAGCCCCACAAUCCAACAAGGUGGCGAAAUCCAACGCUAACGUGACUUGCAAAGUCCUCGGAGCCAAGGCAUCAAUCACGCUGGUGAAGAGAGUGAUGAGCCCUUGUUUUUUGCCCCCCUCUCCAUGAGUCACCAUCAUGGGGCAGUACGGGAUGUGUCCUGGACAGCUGUCAACCAACAGUCAGUCAUCCCAGGAGGACAGAAGAUGGAAAUAG
This 6114-nucleotide long non-coding RNA is filed under the name Sus scrofa (pig). Its description in RNAcentral is "lncRNA (ENSSSCG00000062619.1)". Lineage: Eukaryota; Metazoa; Chordata; Mammalia; Artiodactyla; Suidae. The record is from RNAcentral.